This 269-nucleotide ribosomal RNA is filed under the name uncultured Planctomycetales bacterium. Its description in RNAcentral is "partial 16S ribosomal RNA". It matches the Rfam family "Bacterial small subunit ribosomal RNA", at positions 565 to 832 of the family's 1533-position model. The record is from RNAcentral. Lineage: Bacteria; Pseudomonadati; Planctomycetota; Planctomycetia; Planctomycetales.
GAGCACGUAGGUGGGUUUGUAAGUCAGAUGUGAAAGCCUUCCGUUCAACGGAAGAAUUGCAUCUGAAACUGCGAGUCUUGAGUGUAGGAGGGGAGAAUGGAACUUCUGGUGGAGCGGUGAAAUGCGUAGAUAUCAGAAGGAACGCCGGCGGCGAAAGCGAUUCUCAGGCCUAUUACUGACACUCAGUGUGCGAAAGCUAGGGGAGCAAACGGGAUUAGAUACCCCGGUAGUCCUAGCCGUAAACGAUGGGCACUAAGUAGAGGGGUUUU